CAGGACGAACGCUGGCGGCGUGCCUAAUACAUGCAAGUCGAGCGGACAGAAGGGAGCUUGCUCCCGGAUGUUAGCGGCGGACGGGUGAGUAACACGUGGGUAACCUGCCUGUAAGACUGGGAUAACUCCGGGAAACCGGAGCUAAUACCGGAUAGUUCCUUGAACCGCAUGGUUCAAGGAUGAAAGACGGUUUCGGCUGUCACUUACAGAUGGACCCGCGGCGCAUUAGCUAGUUGGUGAGGUAACGGCUCACCAAGGCGACGAUGCGUAGCCGACCUGAGAGGGUGAUCGGCCACACUGGGACUGAGACACGGCCCAGACUCCUACGGGAGGCAGCAGUAGGGAAUCUUCCGCAAUGGACGAAAGUCUGACGGAGCAACGCCGCGUGAGUGAUGAAGGUUUUCGGAUCGUAAAGCUCUGUUGUUAGGGAAGAACAAGUGCAAG
This 444-nucleotide ribosomal RNA is filed under the name Bacillus sp. DJ20. Its description in RNAcentral is "bacterial SSU rRNA". It matches the Rfam family "Bacterial small subunit ribosomal RNA", at positions 25 to 459 of the family's 1533-position model. The record is from RNAcentral. Lineage: Bacteria; Bacillati; Bacillota; Bacilli; Caryophanales; Bacillaceae.